CUUAUUUAUUGUUUUUUCAUUAAUGUAGGACAACUUAAAAUUGUUGGAUGACAUGGCGGAAUUGAGUUCAACCAACUGUAUUCUGCAGUUAUAUAACACAGUAUAUGUGUUAUGAAUACAAGGUUGUCUGAGAGAAAGAUUGUUUAAUGUUGCAUAUAAUGUGAAGGAUUCUCAGGGGAUUGUCGUAUUCCUCUAAACUACCAUUUUACUUUUUUUGGUCAUAAUAAAUGCGGAUACCUUAUAAAGGCCAAAGCUCAAAUAUGUGGUUGUCUGAGAAAGUUACAGAAGAUGCGUAUCACAAGCCAUAUUUUGUGUGCCACACAGACAUUGCAUAUUGUCGUUGAAGGGCUAGAUGAGCUCAUGCCAUAUCUUCCGUCAACAACUGGGUGGGGUUAAAGGUUAAGUGUAUGAUUUUCUGAACUUAUUGCUCAGUUACAUAAAUCUUAUCUUCCUUUGGCACACCAACAAUCUAUGAAAAGUCCAACCACAUCAUAUUGGCAAACUAUGGUGGCUCAGUUGGAGUGGUAUGAUGGAAAUUGUGGCUUCUAGUCAUCAAUCAAAGCCAAUGCAAUAAUUUUGUUGCAUAUAUGUUGGAUGGAAUUAAGCACAAAAUCCAGCUAAAGAAUUAUUUAACAAAUAUUUGCAAAAUAAACACAAAACAACACAAGAAUGGAAUUGAAAUCCUUUUGAUUUCCUGUCAAUCAUACACAUGACAAAUAUCAAUUCCUUUGACAUAUUCCAUUCAUUACUCUGCAACAAGAAAAAGGUUUUAGUAACCAAAUAAAGAGCUUAUGUUAUGGUGGAGAAAAGGUAAAGAAGAUCCCCUGAGAAUCAAAGUCUUAACAUGUACACUUUGAGUUCCAAUAAGGGUGUUGGGUUAUUAUGCCUUUCUGUUACGAAAUUAUGAACUUUGCUUUAUCAAAUUACCGCCUUCCAUCCACUGAUUACAAAAGAUAUGAGUCUAUGACCCUGUUUGUGUAUUUCCAGAAAUACCCCUAUGUUCCUAAAACUCAUGCUUGUGUAUUAUCUAUAUUCAGGAAAUGAUGGGAUUAACAUGCUUCAUGUAGAAUCAAUAAAAAAAAGAGAUGUUGAAUAUUGCAUGGAAAAUGCCUUCAGCACUUAUUUUGUAUGCCUGCGAAAAUGGGAGAUCAGGGAAGGGAAAUGCCACAUGAUGUGGUCUUUGGUGGGCUGAAAUGUUAAAAACAAGUGGUCAAUAUAUAUUAAGAGGGUGUUGGUGUUUACCUUCAUAUCUCUGAUGAGUGGUAGAACAAGGGUACAAUGUCGAUCUUCCAAAGAGAUUGAAGACAUGAAAAUGGAAUGUUUACUUUUACAGGUUACAUUGAUUGAAUAUGACACCUUGGCAUAUUUUGAUAGUGAUUCUUUAUUGAAAUGAAGUUACAACCUUCAAGAACUCAUCAACAACUGGGGUUAAAGGUUGUAUCAUUUUCUAAGCUUAUUAUUCAGGGAAGUAACAACCAUUACCCUUUUCUUUUCGUCCAUCAAAACAAGAUGAUGUUGCUACAAUAUGGGGAUAGAAACCUGACUGCAAAUGUUGCUGGUGGAAGCCUUGAAAUUAAAGUUGUAUCCAUCAAAUGCCAAUUGUUUUCACACAUAUAUGAAAGGUCCAACCAGAUGAUACUGGUGUACUAUGGUGGCUUAGUUGGACUUUAUCAAAUUUCAUCUUCUGUCUGAAUCAAGUUCAUGAUAAUGAUUCCCUUAUUGUACUCAAUCACAUCAUGACAAAACUUUUGUUUCUUUUUGACUUAAUGGGCAAUGUAUUUUCAUUCUUGUAGAACAACUUGAAAUUGUUGGAUGAGAUGAUGGGGGAAUUGAGUGAGAUCUAUUAUGUUCCACGAUUAUGUAACAGAGUAUAUGAUAUGAUGGUGUUAUGAAUCCAGAUGACUAGUCAUAUGGUGGUAGAUUGUUUAAUGUUGCAUUUAAUGCGAGGAGGCAAGCAUUACUUAAAGAAAAAUAGACAAGUGGCUUUGGUCAUUUCUGUUAUGCUUUGCCCUGUUUCAAAGACUCUACAAGUUCAAAUUGUGAAUGUUGUAUGCAUCAGAUGUUUGACAACCAAAUGUUGAGGUGACAAAGGAGCAGUUAGAACAAUGUUAUUACUGAUGCAUAGAAACUAUAACCAUCUCUUAUCAACCUGAUUUUGUAUCAACAUGCAUGGUUCCAGUUUUUCAAUAAAGAAGUUGAACUUGUAUGCAGCAUAUGUGUACAUAUGUGUAUGUGUAUCCUUUUCAGACCAUGAAGCCUUUGAUCAUCCUGUUAGUUACAUAUCCUAGGUAUCAACAUGUUUCUGGAUCUUUUUUUUUUGGUCCACAAUAACCCAGAUGGAUCAUCAGAGAGGUUUUUUCACUCCUUAAUUAUCAAUUUUGUUAUGAUGUAAAAAGUAUUGAAUAUAAAUAUUUAAAUUUCAUAAUUGCACGCGAUAUAGAUUUAUUGUACAUAACCAACUACUUUAGAAUGUGGUAUAUUUUAUAAUUAGCGAGAGCGAGACACCUAAAAGUUUUAUAUUGAAUAUCAAGUAUUUGUUCCAUGGUAGUGUUUUUUUUUAUCAACUCUGGAUUUCAUAUUCAUAUACACAUUCUUAAUGUAAAUACACCCUCUUCUUUUGCUCUACAUUUCACACCAUAGUUACUUAUUUUGUUGCUAUGUUAGUGGUAGAACACGCAUACAAUGUCGAUCUUCCAAAGAAAUUGAAGACAUGAAAGUGGAGUGUUUACUUUUACAGAUUUUCCUUUGAAGCUAGUCACUAGAUUUCCUCAUCAUCCUCACAUUGGUUGGCACCUUAUUGUGCAAGUAUCUACUAUCUACAUGUCUAAGUUCCACUAUAUUAGUUAGGCUUUCUUCACUAAAACUGAAUAUAAAACAUUGACAUAAAUCGUCUUUCUUUAUGCUGCAAAUGUAGUAAACUGAAGUUAAUGCCCAAUCUUAAUCUUGUAGGUCCGGAUGAUGACUCUUCUGCACAAAGCCAUAUUUAGUGUGCUAGAGACAUUCCUUAUUGUAAGUUUCCACCUAUUUUCUAAACGCUUAAAUUUGUGAUAUUAGUUGCUAAUCAAUCACUUUGACAUUUCAAUUGCUGAUGAGCUUUUUGUCAGAGAUUCCUUAUGUGGGUUUGAUGAUGGUAUGAUGGUUAAUCAUUUCUUAUCAAUUGCAUCUCUUCCAUCAGAAACCAGGGUUAAAGGUUGUAUCAUUUUAUUAAACAUCUAUCUCCAAUAACAUGAGUUUCUUUGAUUUGAGUUUUUAAUCUUUCAUGAUUUCUACUGAUUUUUUUCGAAAAAGUUUAUCUAUUUAAGCAGUGAAAUCGCUUUGUAUUUGUAUGGUUGUUAUUAGGGUCAUCUAAUCUGCGACACUUAUCAACACAUAGAUUCUUCCCCAUGUUAUAUGAAUUUCUGAAGAUUGUAAGCUGCCAAACAAAUCUUAAUUUAUGUAUUUCAAUUACUAAUAUGUGGUUAUUUGAUAGGAUAAAUGGAGCAGUCAAGAAGAGCAUAUAGAAAUCUAGAAAUAAAAAAAAAUAAAAAAAAAUAAAAAAAAACUAAAUUACCAUAUAUGAUGCAAAGGUAAGAACCAAAUUCUACUUCGCUGAUUACUUAAUAUACAUCUAAGAUGUCUAAUAGCGUACUAAUAAAAAAAUACUUUUUAUUUAAUGGUAAAUGCAAUCAAUAUUCUAACACAAGACCUUUUGCCUUCAAAAUAUUAAGUUUGUUUGAUUCCGGUUGCCAAUUAUAGUUCAAUAUUUUUGACAACUAUUUUUCCUUUAAGUUAAUUGUACUUUCUACUGUUUUCCUAUUAAGACAUUGUGCAUUUAAUUAUUUUCCUACCAAGACAUUGCAUUUUAAAAAUGUAACCUAGUUAGAUUUGUAUUUUGAAAAUCUGAACUUGUUUCAUUUUGGUUAACAUUUAUAGCAUUUUAUAUUCAAAAUAUUUGAAGUUGAUUGUUUAUGUUCUAUUAGAUUGUUUAUUAUAGUAGUAAAAUAUACUUCUCUGAAUUUUUGCUACUUAUUUCAUGGUUUCAUAACAUGUUUGGUAGUCACCUAGAUGUUAGGGAAAUAAAAAUAUGUUGCUAUUACAGGUAAAAGUAUAUAAGUAUGCUGCUAUUUUGUUUUAGUUUUUUGGAUUGGUUUAGAUGAAGGGGAUUGAGUAGAUGAAGAUAAGGACAAAAAAGUCAGAAGAAAUACAACAUAUCGAGCAUCCUAUCAACUCAUCAAAAUUGACUCUUUGUUUUCUUUCAUGCUUGUUUCUUGCUCACCCUGAACUUGAUGAGUUGAUCAACAAACAAAAAAAGUAUAAGAUGUUUAAUACAACACUUUUCAUGAAAGUUACAAUAUUUCCCUUUUCGGAAAAGUUUAAAAUUUAAAAGUACCUAUUUCUCCAUUGAUUUUUAGCCUACACAACACUUCCAUGAGUUUUUGCAUAUUUCACUGCUUCUCAAAAGUUGUUAACAUCUUGAAUUAUGGUACAAAACUUGUUUGCUUUUACGAUUGAUCUGCAUGGAAAGUUAUGUUUAUAUGUACAUUCAUGGGUUAGUUUUGUUAGUGUAUGUAGUGGGAGUGAUCUUGCAGAUUCCAUACGAUGAACUUGGAACAAGAAGACUAGAGAAAAAUAGUUGUUUGUUGAGAAUGUUAAUCAUUAUUGAUGGUAAACAAAUAUGUAAGUAGUUUGCUAUUUAUUGCAACAUACAAAGGAUUCAAGGAUUGUUUAUGAAGAGAUGGCUAAGAUGAUAGUUUAUGAAAUUGAAUCUUUAUCAGAGAAACUUGAGGUUUUCACAUUGUAGGUCAAAAU
Lactuca sativa (garden lettuce) is the source of this 4788-nucleotide non-coding RNA. The record is from RefSeq and is a predicted model, not a curated record. Lineage: Eukaryota; Viridiplantae; Streptophyta; Magnoliopsida; Asterales; Asteraceae.